RNAcentral lists this non-coding RNA (132 nucleotides) under Palpitomonas bilix. The record is from RNAcentral.
AAGUGAAAAGGGAGAGAAGCGAGAGGUGAAGCGAAGGAAAGAAAACGGUCGUUGCACAUCGUGAAUAAGCUUCUCUUUUUUUUCUUUUGUUUUUUCCUAUUAUAAGCUUUUGCUUUCGUUGUGUGUGUUUUU